This 600-nucleotide ribosomal RNA is filed under the name uncultured bacterium. RNAcentral's name for it is "bacterial SSU rRNA". It matches the Rfam family "Bacterial small subunit ribosomal RNA", at positions 202 to 802 of the family's 1533-position model. The record is from RNAcentral.
UAAAGAUUCAUCGCUGAUAGAUAGGCAUGCGUUCCAUUAGGCAGUUGGCGGGGUAACGGCCCACCAAACCGACGAUGGAUAGGGGUUCUGAGAGGAAGGUCCCCCACAUUGGUACUGAGACACGGACCAAACUCCUACGGGAGGCAGCAGUGAGGAAUAUUGGUCAAUGGGCGUAAGCCUGAACCAGCCAAGUCGCGUGAGGGAUGAAGGUUCUAUGGAUCGUAAACCUCUUUUAUAAGGGAAUAAAGUGCGGGACGUGUCCCGUUUUGUAUGUACCUUAUGAAUAAGGAUCGGCUAACUCCGUGCCAGCAGCCGCGGUAAUACGGAGGAUCCGAGCGUUAUCCGGAUUUAUUGGGUUUAAAGGGUGCGUAGGCGGCCUUUUAAGUCAGCGGUGAAAGUCUGUGGCUCAACCAUAGAAUUGCCGUUGAAACUGGGAGGCUUGAGUAUGUUUGAGGCAGGCGGAAUGCGUGGUGUAGCGGUGAAAUGCUUAGAUAUCACGCAGAACCCCGAUUGCGAAGGCAGCCUGCCAAGCCAUGACUGACGCUGAUGCACGAAAGCGUGGGGAUCAAACAGGAUUAGAUACCCUGGUAGUCCACGCAG